CCUACGGGUGGCAGCAGUGGGGAAUAUUGGGCAAUGGGCGCAAGCCUGAUCCAGCAACGCCGCGUGAAGGAAGAAGGCCCUCGGGAUGUAAACUUCUUUUAUCAGGGACGAAACAAAUGACAGUACCUGAAGAAUCAGCCACGGCUAACUACGUGCCAGCCGCCGCGGUAAUACGUAGGUGGCAAGCGUUAUCCGGAUUUACUGGGUGGAAAGGGCGUGUCGGCGGGAGAGCAAGUCAGACGUGAAAUUCCAGGGCUCAACCCUGGAACUGCGUUUGAAACUGUUCUUCUUGAGUGAUGGAGAGGCAGGCGGAAUUCCGUGUGUAGCGGUGAAAUGCGUAGAUAUACGGAGGAACACCAGUGGCGAAGGCGGCCUGCUGGACAUUAACUGACGCUGAGGCGCGAAAGCGUGGGGAGCAAACAGGAUUAGAUACCCCGGUAGUC
This 443-nucleotide ribosomal RNA is filed under the name uncultured bacterium. Its description in RNAcentral is "partial 16S ribosomal RNA". It matches the Rfam family "Bacterial small subunit ribosomal RNA", at positions 338 to 795 of the family's 1533-position model. The record is from RNAcentral.